GACGAACGCUGGCGGCGUGCCUAAUACAUGCAAGUCGAGCGGACUGAUUAAGAGCUUGCUCUUAUGACGUUAGCGGCGGACGGGUGAGUAACACGUGGGCAACCUGCCCUGUAGAUCGGGAUAACACCGAGAAAUCGGUGCUAAUACCGGGUAAUAUCUGAGAUCACAUGAUCUUAGGUUAAAAGAUGGCUCCGGCUAUCACUACAGGAUGGGCCCGCGGCGCAUUAGCUAGUUGGUAAGGUAAUGGCUUACCAAGGCGACGAUGCGUAGCCGACCUGAGAGGGUGAUCGGCCACACUGGGACUGAGACACGGCCCAGACUCCUACGGGAGGCAGCAGUAGGGAAUCUGCCGCAAUGGACGAAAGUCUGACGGAGCAACGCCGCGUGAGUGAUGAAGGGUUUCGGCUCGUAAAGCUCUGUUGCUAGGGAAGAAACAGUACCGAACGAACUAGGUCGGUACCUUGACGGUACCUAACCAGAAAGCCACGGCUAACUACGUG
Molecule: ribosomal RNA, 500 nt
Filed under: uncultured bacterium
Lineage: Bacteria
Description: partial 16S ribosomal RNA
Rfam family: Bacterial small subunit ribosomal RNA
Source: RNAcentral